This 859-nucleotide ribosomal RNA is filed under the name uncultured Neocallimastigales. RNAcentral describes it as "partial large subunit ribosomal RNA". The stretch from base 6 to 379 matches the Rfam family "Eukaryotic large subunit ribosomal RNA", at positions 24 to 358 of the family's 3401-position model. Lineage: Eukaryota; Fungi; Neocallimastigomycota; Neocallimastigomycetes; Neocallimastigales. The record is from RNAcentral.
UUAUCUCUGUAGAGUCUGCAUAUCAAUAAGCGGAGGAAAAAGAAAACUAACUAGGAUUCCCUUAGUAAACGGCGAGUGAAGCGGGAAGAGCUCAAAAUUUUGAAAAUCUUCAAGGUUUUUUACCUUGGACGAAUUGUAGUUUUAAAGAAGUGUUUUUUUCUGUUUGGUGUUUUUGGUAAAAAGUUUCUUUUGGAAUAGGGAACAUCAUAGAGGGUGAGAAAUCCCGUAUUUUGGACCAUUAAUUUUCCAGCUGUUGUGAUACACUUUUCAAAGAGUCGGAUUGUUUUUGGGAAUGCAGUCCCAAAAAUGGGUGGUAAAAUUUUCAUCUAAAGCUAAAAUAUUGGCGAGAGGACCGAUAGCGAAACAAGUUACCGUGAGGGAAAAGAUGAAAAAGAAACUUUGAAAAAGAGAGUUUAAAACAGUACGUGAAAAUUGUCCAAAAAGGGAAGCGUUUUGGACACCAGUGUUUGUUUUUUCUCGAAAAAUCAAUUAAAAAAAAAGUUUGGAUUUUUGUAUUGUUUAAGGACCUUAUCAGCUUACUGUACUCUUUUUCUUGCUUUUUUUUUAAUGCACUUUUUCGUUUUAAACAAGUCAAACAUCAAUUUUCUUUUUGUUUGUAAAAAGAGUCCAUUGGAAGGUGGCUUUUCACUUCGGUGAAAAGUGUUUUUAUAGCCUUUGGCUUCUGCAAUCGGAGAGAUUGAGGUCUGCAGCGUAGAUCCUUCGGGGCUAGAUUACGUAGAUGCUAAGUUUAUAGUUUUUUUUUAUAGGACAACUUGUUUGGACUAUAAUUAAUCAUGUAGCUUACUCGUCUUGCGCUAUUUUUACCUACGCUUAGGAUGUUGAUCUGUAGUGCGUGCGC